Non-coding RNA from Leptonychotes weddellii (Weddell seal), 613 nucleotides. The record is from RefSeq and is a predicted model, not a curated record. Lineage: Eukaryota; Metazoa; Chordata; Mammalia; Carnivora; Phocidae.
GCUUCCUCCUGGAGCCCAGCAUUCUGAUGAAAAAGGUGCUAAAGAAAUUAUCCUUGAUGAUGAUGAGUGUCCUUUACAAAUCUUCAGGGAAUGGCCAAGUGACAAAGGGGUUUUAGUCUUUCAGUUGAAGAGGAGGCCACCAGACUAUAUCCCAAAGAAAACUAAGAAACAUGUUGAUGGGAAGCUGGUGAAGGGCAAGGAGAGAGCGGAGGGGUCGGGCUACGGCUCUGCGCUUCCGCCCGAGAAGCUGCCCUAUCUAGUAGAGCUAAGCCCAGGGAGAAGGGAUCGCUUUGCCUGCUACAACUAUCACCCUUACGAAGGUAAUGCUAUGUUCAUACUGCUUUCCUAACUAGAGCACUAACAGAGCCUCUUGGGCAAAAUAAUGUUAAGUGGCCAGACAUUUUAUGUAUUAGGUUCUUAAUUAAUACAAGUAACUUUAUUCUAAGAAAUGUAAUGUGCCAUCCUUCCUUGGUUGGCGUCUUGUCAGCACUCCAUGUGCAGCAUUCGCUUCAUCUCACGGAAGCCGAGUUUGCAGAAAUGUCCAGCUCCUUUACUCAGGCAAAGUCUCGAGUGAGAAAUUGGACUGAAGAAGGACAGGAGCUGGGUUCCUAUC